GCGCAGGAAAAGAAACCAACAGGGAUUGCCUUAGUAACUGCGAGUGAAGCGGCAAAAGCUCAAAUUUGAAAUCUGGCGUCUUCGGCGUCCGAGUUGUAAUUUGGAGAGAUUUCUUCGGGGUGAACACCGGUCCAAGUUCCUUGGAACAGGACGUCACAGAGGGUGAGAAUCCCGUGUCUGACCGGUUGCUUCAUUCCAUGUGAAGAGUCUUCGACGAGUCGAGUUGUUUGGGAAUGCAGCUCAAAAUGGGUGGUAAAUUUCAUCUAAAGCUAAAUAUUGGCGAGAGACCGAUAGCGCACAAGUAGAGUGAUCGAAAGAUGAAAAGCACUUUGAAAAGAGAGUUAAAAAGUACGUGAAAUUGUUGAAAGGGAAGCGCUUGAGACCAGACUCAAUUUGUGGUGAACAUCAGUCCUUCUGGGCUGUGCACUUGCCACUUUUUGGGCCAGCAUCGGUUCUGACCGUGUGAUAAAGGUCCUGGGAAUGUAGCUCCUCUCGGGGAGUGUUAUAGCCCAGGGCGUAUUGACAUGAGUUGGGACCGAGGACCGCGCUUCGGCUAGGAUGCUGGCAUAAUGGUCUUCAGCGACCCGUCUUGAAACACAGACCAAGGAGUCUAACAUCUAUGCGAGUGUUCGGGUGGAAAACCCUUGCGCGUAAUGAAAGUGAACGGAGGUGGGAACCCCUCGGGGUGCACCAUCGACCGAUCCUGAUGUUCUCGGAUGGAUUUGA
RNAcentral lists this ribosomal RNA (726 nucleotides) under uncultured Ascodesmis. RNAcentral describes it as "eukaryotic LSU rRNA". It matches the Rfam family "Eukaryotic large subunit ribosomal RNA", at positions 50 to 793 of the family's 3401-position model. The record is from RNAcentral. Lineage: Eukaryota; Fungi; Ascomycota; Pezizomycetes; Pezizales; Ascodesmidaceae.